This is a long non-coding RNA of Mustela lutreola (European mink), 698 nucleotides long. RefSeq lists it as uncharacterized. The record is from RefSeq and is a predicted model, not a curated record. NCBI's taxonomy places the organism in Eukaryota, Metazoa, Chordata, Mammalia, Carnivora, Mustelidae. The transcript is spliced from 4 exons.
GUCUACACCAGUUCUCGUGCUGGAAAAAAGAGGGGCUCUAGAAAUGGGUGAAAUUUGGUAAUAGCCCCAAGUUAAAAGGGGUCUCUUCGGACAGGUUGCACGUUGAACGAGACUUCUGAGUUGGAUAACUGAUGAUUCAUACCUUUGCUAAGGAGAAGUAAGGAGAAAGGUUUGCUUUUUGAUCAUACUUGAACUAGAAAAGGAAGAGGGAAGCAAGUGCCCUAAGGAGCCACGGGUUGUAUUUCUAGUAGAAAUCAAAGUGCUCUGAAAGGACACAGAAAGAGUGCUUGAGCAUGAGCCUGGUGGAGGGUGCAGAGAGAGAGAAAAAAAUCCUCAAGCAGACUCCCUGCUAAGCAUAGAGGCUAACUCAGGGCUCCAUCUCAGGACCCUGAGAUGAUAACCUGAGCAGAAAUCAAGAGCUGGCCACUUAACUGACUGAGCCAUCCAGGUGCCCCAUGAUUUCUUCUACAGAGAAGAGAAAGCUGAAUUUUCAAGGAUGCUCUCUAGCAUUUCAGCUCACAGUGCAACUGGAUUAACCUGUUAACUUUGCUGAAGAAGUCAGAAGCUAUGAAGAGCAGCCCGCUGUGGGAGACGCUGAUGGCCCUGGCUGACUCCAGAGUGGAGUGAAUUGCCACCUUGCUGACCAAGAAAUGAUCGAUGCCUGGCACCUGGCAGUGAAUGGGGCGCCCUGCAAUGAU